Molecule: long non-coding RNA, 361 nt
Organism: Mytilus californianus (California mussel)
Lineage: Eukaryota; Metazoa; Mollusca; Bivalvia; Mytilida; Mytilidae
Exons: 5
Source: RefSeq, a predicted model, not a curated record
AGGUUCUUUCUGUGACAUGUUUUCAUGGUGUGGGAAUAAGACUUGUUGGUCUAAUACAGCUAAUACAUAGGUUAGCAUCACAGCUUGUCCGUAAGGAUUGAGGCUGGGAAUGGUCUUUGGAACUGACUUUCAAAAUAUGAAGAUGAUGAGGAGAGCCACCUUGGCAGCCAGGAGAGUAGCUCUAAGGAAGAUGGUCAAUUAAAUCUUCAAUAAGUCUGAGGCAUUACCAAGAAAAUAAUAAGGUUGUUAUAAUGACAAUGUUUUCAUGGUGUUGGGAGUAAGACUUGGAUAUCUGAUAUUGUUAACAUGUUGAUUAGCAUCACAAAGUUUCCGUAAGGUUACUUGCUGGGGUAGUAAUUGG